UACGGGGGGUGCGAGCGUUGUCCGGAAUCACUGGGCGUAAAGCGCGCGUAGGCGGUUAUCUAAGUCGGAUGUGAAAGCCCUCGGCUUAACUGAGGAAGUGCACCCGAAACUGGAUAGCUAGAGUACGAAAGAGGGUCGCGGAAUUCCCGGUGUAGAGGUGAAAUUCGUAGAUAUCGGGAGGAACACCGGUGGCGAAGGCGGCGACCUGGGUCGAGACUGACACUGAGGCGCGAAAGCGUGGGGAGCAAACAGG
This 253-nucleotide ribosomal RNA is filed under the name uncultured bacterium. RNAcentral's name for it is "partial 16S ribosomal RNA". It matches the Rfam family "Bacterial small subunit ribosomal RNA", at positions 524 to 776 of the family's 1533-position model. The record is from RNAcentral.